GUGGAACAAUUUGUUAUCAGUCUGGAAAAGAGGUGAUGGCAGGAUCAAGACAGCAACUCAGCUCUUCUCCAUUUGAGACAGAAACACCUUUUUUGACCUGUAUUUUUGAUGACAAAUGUGCCUGAAAUAUGAUACCAGCCUGAAAUGAUACCCAGCCUGAGAAAUGGCUAAAUGAUAUUUAUGAACCAGGUCCUGCUGUCCUUGGACUUGAUCCUGCAUAAGCAUAUUGGAGGACCAACCACAGAUACUGCUCCAAUGAGGUGAAGUCCUGGUAGAGUGCCUCAAGCACUGAAAUCCCAUGAGGACAAAACCAUGGACAUAUCUAGGGAUGCCAAGCACAGAACCAGGACUGAGAACAGAGGCUCACACUGUACAAAUCCACACCCUUCACCUCCUUUCCCCAGAGAGACUCCAAACCACACGAGCAGGAGGCACAGCAGCUCCUUGACUUCAGCUAAUUGCCAUGUUCCCUCGAAGGAGGAGUGAUGCCUCACCCAAGUUUCUCUGCUAUGGAUGUGAGGAGCUGAUCUCGGAAUUAUUCAGUGGUUUCUUACAUCAUUCCUCUGUUCCCAGCCAUGCCACAAGGCUUUCAGAAGGCUAUGAAACCAAGAAUGAGAGACAAGUGUGAGCCUUCCUCCAGCCCCUUCUGUCAUCUGGGCAUGCUCGUGCCACGUGUCACUACAGACAUUUGGGACAUCUGGAACGGGUUCAUUAGGAAAGUUCCUCUGUCUGGUUCAGUGCCUGGUCACAGCGAGUUUUCCUGGCACAAGCGAGUGGAAAGAGCACUUUGGCAUGGAGAGGAAAUGAGCAGCAGAGGGUGAAAGGUGUCCUGCCAGGCACUUCCCAUUUGUGUCCUUAUCCCAGUUUCCAGACAUCUUCAGAGGCUUCCCAGCUACUGUGUCCUGCAAGUUCAAAACCCUGCAGCCCACUGGGACUGGGAAUGUGUGAAGGAGCACAAGGAUUGGAGUUGAAUGACAGUGAUAAAUAGGGAGCCGCCUGCCCCUGGGGGCCAUGCACUGUGUUCCUCCCCCAGAGUGUGCAAAUAUUUGCAGCAGAGCAGCCUCUGAGCCCCGAGACGUGAGCAGCGACACGAGGAGGUGCAGCCCAGGGCAGGGGCAAGGCCAGAGGGUGUGAAACCAGCACACAGCCCCCGGGCUCAUAUGGAGAAUUCAAGUUUAGAAGUUACAUAUUGGUAUAAAAAUCCAUAAUUCUGCAGCUGGGUUGUGUCACCUCAUGCCAUCAGCAGGUCUCCCCUCACCAUGGCUCUAGCAGAGAGGCACAAGCUCCAAUGAGAAACAGGUGGCUGCCUGGCUGUUACAAUUUAUCAUGAACGCAUCUCACUUCACUUCUGGCUCCUCUGACGGAAGGAACAGCCGGUCUCCGGGAGGUCAAAGACAUUAUUUUCCCCUAGUCUUUCUCAGUUUCCAGCACAUAUUUGUCACUUUGAAAAAGCAUGAAUUCUGGAUUUGAUGCACUUUAAUUGAUUUCACCCUCAACAAGUCCAACUGUCCAUCAACCUUUCCUUUUUCUUUCCUCUCCCCCUUCUUCACUUCUUUCCUCUGUCCCUUUGCUUUGAGAGUGAUGUUUUCACCCGCCUGCAUGUUGGAGCUGUCGCAAAGCCCAUGACCCUAUCAAGGCUUACUUAGCCAUUGCUCUCAUUCUCCCUAUCCUCCAAGUUCAACUUUGGAUGCUGAAUGAGAAUGAAGUAGGAGUAGUGAGUUGUAGAAUCUCAGUGAUGUGCUCCUUGUCAAAGUAAACGCGGUGGCUGAGGGUCCGCUUAUUUUGAGAUGACUGUGUACAACUGGAAGUGUGAGGGAACUGAUUCAUUAUAUGCUGGCAUUGGUAUUUAAAACAUUUUGCAGAGUUAUGGCAUAGAUGAACAUGUUGUUUCUUUCCUUCUGGAAGGAUGAGUAUUCCUGGUGCUGUGCAUAUAUCCAGGGUUGUGUGGUUGUAAUUUUGGUUUGUAAAAUGGUGUUGUGCCCUCCUAAAUGGAGAUCAUAUCAUCAUACAGCAUCCUGAGUUGCGAGGGGUCCACAAAGACCAUCCCAAAAAUCCUAUGAGAUGCCAUUACACUCUUGUUUGGGUAAUUCUUCUGGCACAAGUGGUGAAACAGAAUAAAUGUGGGCGUGUAAGAACUUGUCCUUUGCACAGAAACCCUCAGAGUGUGUCCUGGAAACCAGGGCCUGCUUCUGGUGGAAGCUAAAAGAGUCACAGGUGUUCUCUGGGUGCUGACAUUACAUCCUGGAUACUGUCAGGACAUGGGGCAGGAGCAGGCAUUCCAAGUUCUCUGCCCUGUUAUGAGGUGUUCACCGGACCUCUGCAGGGAGAAGGGUGUUCCUGGGGCCCUUGUGCGCUCACUGAGGAGCUCCAGCUCUCAGGAUUUGCCAGUGGAAGUGCUCCAGAUGCUUCCCUGAAGUCUCAGCAGCAGAAGGGCUAGUUUAAAAGUCCUGAGCAGCAGGCUGGGAACACCUCCUUUCCUUGGGAACAAACAGGCUGGGAAUGCCUCCAUUCCUCUGGAACAGCAGGCUCAGCUCUGCAGCCAGCUCAGCCUUUCCCCUUUCUGAGGGCAAUAAAUCGAAUACCAUUCCAUUUACUGCCUGCCCACAAGUUUCAAGUGGAAGAGGUGAAGCAGAGCCUGAGGCCAGCCACUCCAUGGGCACAAAUCAGUGUGGCUGUGCUGGCUUACUCCAGCUGUGGGGCUGGCCCCAAGGUUUUGUGUUCACAUUAUCCUGAGGCUCUUAUUGCAGGAAUGCAGGGUUGGCCAGAUGUGCUGGUCACAGCAUCCCCUCCCAAAGUGACAGGGUACCAGCUGCCACUCCCUGCCCUUGGAGCAGCCUGGUGUGGCCUGCCUGCAGCACGGAAGGUGCUCUGGGAUCCUUGGGAAUAGCCACCAGCACAUCAGUGCUAGCCCUGUUCCAGGACACGACACUGAGAGAAUAAGAGCAGUCGAGGAACUUUUCCCCCUUCGACGUGAUGUUCAUCUCCUCCCCCAACCCAGCAUAUGGAAUUCUGGAUCACAUUUCUCUCUCUUGCCAAUAAAUAUUGCAGAUUUAUUGCUCUCUA
This is a non-coding RNA of Cyanistes caeruleus (blue tit), 3063 nucleotides long. Lineage: Eukaryota; Metazoa; Chordata; Aves; Passeriformes; Paridae. The record is from RefSeq and is a predicted model, not a curated record.